Molecule: ribosomal RNA, 1949 nt
Filed under: human gut metagenome
Description: bacterial LSU rRNA
Rfam family: Bacterial large subunit ribosomal RNA
Source: RNAcentral
UUAAGCGACUAAGCGUACACGGUGGAUGCCCUGGCAGUCAGAGGCGAUGAAGGACGUGCUAAUCUGCGAUAAGCGUCGGUAAGGUGAUAUGAACCGUUAUAACCGGCGAUUUCCGAAUGGGGAAACCCAGUGUGAUUCGUCACACUAUCAUUAACUGAAUCCAUAGGUUAAUGAGGCGAACCGGGGGAACUGAAACAUCUAAGUACCCCGAGGAAAAGAAAUCAACCGAGAUUCCCCCAGUAGCGGCGAGCGAACGGGGAGCAGCCCAGAGCCUGAAUCAGUGUGUGUGUUAGUGGAAGCGUCUGGAAAGGCGCGCGAUACAGGGUGACAGCCCCGUACACAAAAAUGCACAUAUUGUGAGCUCGAUGAGUAGGGCGGGACACGUGGUAUCCUGUCUGAAUAUGGGGGGACCAUCCUCCAAGGCUAAAUACUCCUGACUGACCGAUAGUGAACCAGUACCGUGAGGGAAAGGCGAAAAGAACCCCGGCGAGGGGAGUGAAAAAGAACCUGAAACCGUGUACGUACAAGCAGUGGGAGCCUCUUAAUGGGGUGACUGCGUACCUUUUGUAUAAUGGGUCAGCGACUUAUAUUCUGUAGCAAGGUUAACCGAAUAGGGGAGCCGAAGGGAAACCGAGUCUUAACUGGGCGUUAAGUUGCAGGGUAUAGACCCGAAACCCGGUGAUCUAGCCAUGGGCAGGUUGAAGGUUGGGUAACACUAACUGGAGGACCGAACCGACUAAUGUUGAAAAAUUAGCGGAUGACUUGUGGCUGGGGGUGAAAGGCCAAUCAAACCGGGAGAUAGCUGGUUCUCCCCGAAAGCUAUUUAGGUAGCGCCUCGUGAAUUCAUCUCCGGGGGUAGAGCACUGUUUCGGCAAGGGGGUCAUCCCGACUUACCAACCCGAUGCAAACUGCGAAUACCGGAGAAUGUUAUCACGGGAGACACACGGCGGGUGCUAACGUCCGUCGUGAAGAGGGAAACAACCCAGACCGCCAGCUAAGGUCCCAAAGUCAUGGUUAAGUGGGAAACGAUGUGGGAAGGCCCAGACAGCCAGGAUGUUGGCUUAGAAGCAGCCAUCAUUUAAAGAAAGCGUAAUAGCUCACUGGUCGAGUCGGCCUGCGCGGAAGAUGUAACGGGGCUAAACCAUGCACCGAAGCUGCGGCAGCGACACUAUGUGUUGUUGGGUAGGGGAGCGUUCUGUAAGCCUGUGAAGGUGUACUGUGAGGUAUGCUGGAGGUAUCAGAAGUGCGAAUGCUGACAUAAGUAACGAUAAAGCGGGUGAAAAGCCCGCUCGCCGGAAGACCAAGGGUUCCUGUCCAACGUUAAUCGGGGCAGGGUGAGUCGACCCCUAAGGCGAGGCCGAAAGGCGUAGUCGAUGGGAAACAGGUUAAUAUUCCUGUACUUGGUGUUACUGCGAAGGGGGGACGGAGAAGGCUAUGUUGGCCGGGCGACGGUUGUCCCGGUUUAAGCGUGUAGGCUGGUUUUCCAGGCAAAUCCGGAAAAUCAAGGCUGAGGCGUGAUGACGAGGCACUACGGUGCUGAAGCAACAAAUGCCCUGCUUCCAGGAAAAGCCUCUAAGCAUCAGGUAACAUCAAAUCGUACCCCAAACCGACACAGGUGGUCAGGUAGAGAAUACCAAGGCGCUUGAGAGAACUCGGGUGAAGGAACUAGGCAAAAUGGUGCCGUAACUUCGGGAGAAGGCACGCUGAUAUGUAGGUGAAGCGACUUGCUCGUGGAGCUGAAAUCAGUCGAAGAUACCAGCUGGCUGCAACUGUUUAUUAAAAACACAGCACUGUGCAAACACGAAAGUGGACGUAUACGGUGUGACGCCUGCCCGGUGCCGGAAGGUUAAUUGAUGGGGUUAGCGGUAACGCGAAGCUCUUGAUCGAAGCCCCGGUAAACGGCGGCCGUAACUAUAACGGUCCUAAGGUAGCGAAAUUCCUUGUCGGGU